This is a long non-coding RNA of Equus caballus (horse), 1558 nucleotides long. RefSeq lists it as uncharacterized. The record is from RefSeq and is a predicted model, not a curated record. NCBI's taxonomy places the organism in Eukaryota, Metazoa, Chordata, Mammalia, Perissodactyla, Equidae.
GGUUGUUUCCAGUUUGGGGCUCUUACAGGUGAUGCCAUUGAACGUUCUUAUCCUUGUCUCGUGGUGCACUUGGGCAUGCGUUUCUGUUGAGCGUUUACUUGGCUGUGGAAUUGUAUCUAGUUACCUAGUGAGAACGGCCAUAAAGCAGUUUGCAAAUCAUGUCCAAGGACGGUCCAUACUGGGUGCUAAGAGACCAUAGGACGAUCCAGGGCUGCCUCCAAGGAAGUUGGUUUUGGGGGAUGGGCAAGAGGCUGGCUUAGCAAGGCUGCUGCCUCCCUCAUUAGCCUGAGCCGGCCGUUCGUAAUUGUUUUAAGAUUUUGUUUGAAGAAGUUCUGCUGUAAAGAGUUUGUUGGCAAUACAGCAUAUGGAACUUACACUGCUCAGAGCAGGUAUUUAAUUAGUGUUAGUUGAAUUCGAUGGUUACUAGGAGUCUGAAGGAUGAACAGGAAGAGGAGGCUGAAUCGGGUGACCAGUCGGUUAUUAUAGUUGACUAGGGGAGAGAUUGUGAGAACUUCAUGAACUCUGGAGAGGGGCAUUGGAAAUAGACAUAUGGACGAGCCAUUUCCGGUGCCCAAACUGCCCAGGCCGGUUGAGCAGGAAUGAGCGAGUAUCAGGCCCUCAAGCUGGGUAGACCUGUGAUGAGCGGGAAGGCGGGGCUGUGGACUGAGGCCUCUGUGAGCUCUGACUCUCCCACUGACUAGCUCCGUGAUCCUGGGUCGGUAACUUGACCUCAUCCUCAUUUCUUCAGCUGUAAAAUGAGGAGACAGUGGGAAAACCAGUCCAGGCGACAAGGGCAGAAAUUCCCCAAGGAAAUAGGAAAUUUUAACAUUCACAUCUAUUGACUCACUUCAUCCUCAAGGGAGGAAACUUGGAAGCCAAAGAAAAGCAUAAAGAAAAAACAAAAUCCUCUGCUACCCAGAAAUAACCUAUCAAUAAUUUGUAUUUUUUGGUCUUUAAAAAAAAAUAAAGCUGGAAUAUGAUAUAUAAUUUGUGUCCUAUUUUUUCUGCAUUUAACGUUAUUCUAUUUUUUCCCUGAAAACGUUUAAAGUAGCUGCAAAAUACCUUCGUAUUUUGUAUGAUCUGUAUGAACAGAUCAUAGUUUAACCAUCCCCCUUCAGUUUUCCACUGUUAAAAAUACCAGAAAAGACUUUGUGGACCAGUAUGUUUAUAUUAUUAUGAAAGUGUACGGCCCUUUUAAGGCUCUUUAUACUUAUUUUCAAAUUGCCUUUCACAAAAAUUGUACAAAUUUGCAUUCCCACCAGUACUGAGUUUCCUCAUGGCACUCUUGCCAGAACUAAAAAUGCUUUUCUCAGUUUGAUAAAAUUUAUAACAUUAACUUAACAGUAAGCUUGAACACCUUUUCAUGUUUAUUCACCACUUUUAUUGAGCCAUUGAAAGAUCUUGAGCAGAGUAAUCUUUUAAUAUGCAUUUCUCAUCACGUCAAACACCUCCUGCUUAAAAGGUUUCAAAAGGUCUUCUUGGGGCCAGCCCAGUGGCGUGGUGGUAAGUUUGUGUGCCCCACUUUAGCAGCCUGGGGUUUGCAGGUUCGGAUCCCAGG